AUGCACUUUCAUGAUUUUUUAUUACAAAUGAUCACAUCUCGUUGUGUGCUCUUAUCAUUUUUUUUAAGAAAAUGUUGUGUGAUCUAUCAGCAGCGCGCAGCUCACGACACAGGUAUUUGCAAUUCUCCACCCUGUUGCAUGCGGUUUACAUCUUGCGAGACAGUUGAAUAUGACAAAAAAAAUGUCAUGCCGUUUACUUCUAUUUGUGUCGCAGUUCACUUUCCUCCCAAUGUGUUUCGAAAGCAGCUAUUUGCAUCAGAACCUAAAAGUGUGCUUGGUCUUAUGGACUCCUCUGUUGUACACUUGGUAAAUACAAAAUAA
RNAcentral lists this ribosomal RNA (321 nucleotides) under Triticum aestivum (bread wheat). Its description in RNAcentral is "partial small subunit ribosomal RNA". The record is from RNAcentral. Lineage: Eukaryota; Viridiplantae; Streptophyta; Magnoliopsida; Poales; Poaceae.